AGCAACUGUCUAGUAUAUGCACUUUAUACUGUGAAACUGCGAAUGGCUCAUUAAAUCAGUUAUCGUUUAUUUGAUAGUACCUUACUACAUGGAUACCUGUGGUAAUUCUAGAGCUAAUACAUGCUAAAAACCUCGACUUCGGAAGGGGUGUAUUUAUUAGAUAAAAAACCAAUGCCCUUCGGGGCUCCUUGGUGAUUCAUAAUAACUUAACGAAUCGCAUGGCCUUGCGCCGGCGAUGGUUCAUUCAAAUUUCUGCCCUAUCAACUUUCGAUGGUAGGAUAGUGGCCUACCAUGGUGGCAACGGGUAACGGGGAAUUAGGGUUCGAUUCCGGAGAGGGAGCCUGAGAAACGGCUACCACAUCCAAGGAAGGCAGCAGGCGCGCAAAUUACCCAAUCCCGACACGGGGAGGUAGUGACAAUAAAUACUGAUACGGGGCUCUUUUGGGUCUCGUAAUUGGAAUGAGUACAAUCUAAAUCCCUUAACGAGGAACAAUUGGAGGGCAAGUCUGGUGCCAGCAGCCGCGGUAAUUCCAGCUCCAAUAGCGUAUAUUAAAGUUGUUGCAGUUAAAAAGCUCGUAGUUGAACCUUGGGUCUGGCUGGCCGGUCCGCCUCACCGCGAGUACUGGUCCGGCUGGACCUUUCCUUCUGGGGAACCUCAUGGCCUUCACUGGCUGUGGGGGGAACCAGGACUUUUACUGUGAAAAAAUUAGAGUGUUCAAAGCAGGCCUUUGCUCGAAUACAUUAGCAUGGAAUAAUAGAAUAGGACGUGCGGUUCUAUUUUGUUGGUUUCUAGGACCGCCGUAAUGAUUAAUAGGGAUAGUCGGGGGCGUCAGUAUUCAGCUGUCAGAGGUGAAAUUCUUGGAUUUGCUGAAGACUAACUACUGCGAAAGCAUUCGCCAAGGAUGUUUUCAUUAAUCAGGGAACGAAAGUUAGGGGAUCGAAGACGAUCAGAUACCGUCGUAGUCUUAACCAUAAACUAUGCCGACUAGGGAUCGGGCGGUGUUUCUAUGAUGACCCGCUCGGCACCUUACGAGAAAUCAAAGUUUUUGGGUUCUGGGGGGGAGUAUGGUCCGCAAGGGCUGAAACUUUAAAAAAAUUGACGGAAGGGGCACACCAAGGCGUUGGAACCUGGCGGGUUUAAUUUUGACUCCAAA
RNAcentral lists this ribosomal RNA (1154 nucleotides) under Aspergillus flavus. RNAcentral's name for it is "SSU rRNA". It matches the Rfam family "Eukaryotic small subunit ribosomal RNA", at positions 52 to 1205 of the family's 1831-position model. The record is from RNAcentral. Lineage: Eukaryota; Fungi; Ascomycota; Eurotiomycetes; Eurotiales; Aspergillaceae.